CACUGAGGUCAAACCCUUCCCAUCUGAGAGAGCUGGACCUGAGCUACAAUCAUCCAGGAGACUCAGGAGAGAACAUUCUGUCUGCUGGACUUGACGAUCCACACUGGAGACUGGACACUCUGAGGUUAGAAAAUUGUGGAGUCCAGCAGUUGAAACCAGGACUUAGGAAGUAUGCCUGCGAACUCACAAUGGACCCAAACACAGCAC
Molecule: long non-coding RNA, 207 nt
Organism: Scomber scombrus (Atlantic mackerel)
Lineage: Eukaryota; Metazoa; Chordata; Actinopteri; Scombriformes; Scombridae
Exons: 3
Source: RefSeq, a predicted model, not a curated record